GGUUAAGCGACUAAGCGUACACGGUGGAUGCCCUGGCAGUCAGAGGCGAUGAAGGACGUGCUAAUCUGCGAUAAGCGUCGGUAAGGUGAUAUGAACCGUUAUAACCGGCGAUUUCCGAAUGGGGAAACCCAGUGUGAUUCGUCACACUAUCAUUAACUGAAUCCAUAGGUUAAUGAGGCGAACCGGGGGAACUGAAACAUCUAAGUACCCCGAGGAAAAGAAAUCAACCGAGAUUCCCCCAGUAGCGGCGAGCGAACGGGGAGCAGCCCAGAGCCUGAAUCAGUGUGUGUGUUAGUGGAAGCGUCUGGAAAGGCGUGCGAUACAGGGUGACAGCCCCGUACACAAAAAUGCACAUGCUGUGAGCUCGAUGAGUAGGGCGGGACACGUGGUAUCCUGUCUGAAUAUGGGGGGACCAUCCUCCAAGGCUAAAUACUCCUGACUGACCGAUAGUGAACCAGUACCGUGAGGGAAAGGCGAAAAGAACCCCGGCGAGGGGAGUGAAAAAGAACCUGAAACCGUGUACGUACAAGCAGUGGGAGCACGCUUAGGCGUGUGACUGCGUACCUUUUGUAUAAUGGGUCAGCGACUUAUAUUCUGUAGCAAGGUUAACCGAAUAGGGGAGCCGAAGGGAAACCGAGUCUUAACUGGGCGUUAAGUUGCAGGGUAUAGACCCGAAACCCGGUGAUCUAGCCAUGGGCAGGUUGAAGGUUGGGUAACACUAACUGGAGGACCGAACCGACUAAUGUUGAAAAAUUAGCGGAUGACUUGUGGCUGGGGGUGAAAGGCCAAUCAAACCGGGAGAUAGCUGGUUCUCCCCGAAAGCUAUUUAGGUAGCGCCUCGUGAAUUCAUCUCCGGGGGUAGAGCACUGUUUCGGCAAGGGGGUCAUCCCGACUUACCAACCCGAUGCAAACUGCGAAUACCGGAGAAUGUUAUCACGGGAGACACACGGCGGGUGCUAACGUCCGUCGUGAAGAGGGAAACAACCCAGACCGCCAGCUAAGGUCCCAAAGUCAUGGUUAAGUGGGAAACGAUGUGGGAAGGCCCAGACAGCCAGGAUGUUGGCUUAGAAGCAGCCAUCAUUUAAAGAAAGCGUAAUAGCUCACUGGUCGAGUCGGCCUGCGCGGAAGAUGUAACGGGGCUAAACCAUGCACCGAAGCUGCGGCAGCGACGCUGAUGCGUUGUUGGGUAGGGGAGCGUUCUGUAAGCCUGUGAAGGUGUACUGUGAGGUAUGCUGGAGGUAUCAGAAGUGCGAAUGCUGACAUAAGUAACGAUAAAGCGGGUGAAAAGCCCGCUCGCCGGAAGACCAAGGGUUCCUGUCCAACGUUAAUCGGGGCAGGGUGAGUCGACCCCUAAGGCGAGGCCGAAAGGCGUAGUCGAUGGGAAACAGGUUAAUAUUCCUGUACUUGGUGUUACUGCGAAGGGGGGACGGAGAAGGCUAUGUUGGCCGGGCGACGGUUGUCCCGGUUUAAGCGUGUAGGCUGGUUUUCCAGGCAAAUCCGGAAAAUCAAGGCUGAGGCGUGAUGACGAGGCACUACGGUGCUGAAGCAACAAAUGCCCUGCUUCCAGGAAAAGCCUCUAAGCAUCAGGUAACAUCAAAUCGUACCCCAAACCGACACAGGUGGUCAGGUAGAGAAUACCAAGGCGCUUGAGAGAACUCGGGUGAAGGAACUAGGCAAAAUGGUGCCGUAACUUCGGGAGAAGGCACGCUGAUAUGUAGGUGAAGUCCCUCGCGGAUGGAGCUGAAAUCAGUCGAAGAUACCAGCUGGCUGCAACUGUUUAUUAAAAACACAGCACUGUGCAAACACGAAAGUGGACGUAUACGGUGUGACGCCUGCCCGGUGCCGGAAGGUUAAUUGAUGGGGUCAGCGCAAGCGAAGCUCUUGAUCGAAGCCCCGGUAAACGGCGGCCGUAACUAUAACGGUCCUAAGGUAGCGAAAUUCCUUGUCGGGUAAGUUCCGACCUGCACGAAUGGCGUAAUGAUGGCCAGGCUGUCUCCACCCGAGACUCAGUGAAAUUGAACUCGCUGUGAAGAUGCAGUGUACCCGCGGCAAGACGGAAAGACCCCGUGAACCUUUACUAUAGCUUGACACUGAACAUUGAGCCUUGAUGUGUAGGAUAGGUGGGAGGCUUGGAAGUGUGGACGCCAGUCUGCAUGGAGCCGACCUUGAAAUACCACCCUUUAAUGUUUGAUGUUCUAACGUUGACCCGUAAUCCGGGUUGCGGACAGUGUCUGGUGGGUAGUUUGACUGGGGCGGUCUCCUCCUAAAGAGUAACGGAGGAGCACGAAGGUUGGCUAAUCCUGGUCGGACAUCAGGAGGUUAGUGCAAUGGCAUAAGCCAGCUUGACUGCGAGCGUGACGGCGCGAGCAGGUGCGAAAGCAGGUCAUAGUGAUCCGGUGGUUCUGAAUGGAAGGGCCAUCGCUCAACGGAUAAAAGGUACUCCGGGGAUAACAGGCUGAUACCGCCCAAGAGUUCAUAUCGACGGCGGUGUUUGGCACCUCGAUGUCGGCUCAUCACAUCCUGGGGCUGAAGUAGGUCCCAAGGGUAUGGCUGUUCGCCAUUUAAAGUGGUACGCGAGCUGGGUUUAGAACGUCGUGAGACAGUUCGGUCCCUAUCUGCCGUGGGCGCUGGAGAAUUGAGGGGGGCUGCUCCUAGUACGAGAGGACCGGAGUGGACGCAUCACUGGUGUUCGGGUUGUCAUGCCAAUGGCACUGCCCGGUAGCUAAAUGCGGAAGAGAUAAGUGCUGAAAGCAUCUAAGCACGAAACUUGCCCCGAGAUGAGUUCUCCCUGACUCCUUGAGAGUCCUGAAGGAACGUUGAAGACGACGACGUUGAUAGGCCGGGUGUGUAAGCGCAGCGAUGCGUUGAGCUAACCGGUACUAAUGAACCGUGAGGCUUAACCUU
This 2904-nucleotide ribosomal RNA is filed under the name Escherichia coli. RNAcentral's name for it is "23S ribosomal RNA". It matches the Rfam family "Bacterial large subunit ribosomal RNA". The record is from RNAcentral. Lineage: Bacteria; Pseudomonadati; Pseudomonadota; Gammaproteobacteria; Enterobacterales; Enterobacteriaceae.